GCACAAGCAGCGGAGCGUGUUGGUUUAAUUCGAUGCUACACGAAGAACCUUUACCUGGGUUUUGACAUAUAGGUUGUAGGGAACUGAAAAGGGACCGACCUUCGGGGAGCCUAUACAGGUGUUGCAUGGCUGUCGUCAGCUCGUGUCGUGAGAUGUUCGGUUAAGUCCGCUAACGAGCGCAACCCUCGUCGUAUGUUAUAUGUGUCAUACGAGACUGCCGGUAAAAAGCCGGAGGAAGGUGAGGAUGAUGUCAAGUCAGCAUGACCUUUAUAUCCAGGGCUACACACACGCUACAAUGGUCUGUACAACGGGUAGCCAAGCCGCGAGGCGGAGCCAAUCCUGAAAGCAGGCCUCAGUUCAGAUUGCAGUCUGCAACUCGACUGCAUGAAGCCGGAGUUGCUAGUAACCGCAGGUCAGCAAUACUGCGGUGAAUACGUUCCCGGGUCUU
RNAcentral lists this ribosomal RNA (448 nucleotides) under uncultured Anaerolineaceae bacterium. Its description in RNAcentral is "bacterial SSU rRNA". It matches the Rfam family "Bacterial small subunit ribosomal RNA", at positions 923 to 1382 of the family's 1533-position model. The record is from RNAcentral. Lineage: Bacteria; Bacillati; Chloroflexota; Anaerolineae; Anaerolineales; Anaerolineaceae.